RNAcentral lists this ribosomal RNA (260 nucleotides) under uncultured bacterium. RNAcentral describes it as "partial 16S ribosomal RNA". The record is from RNAcentral.
CUGCUGCCUUCCGUAGGAGUUUGGGCCGUGUCUCAGUCCCAAUGUGGCCGAUCACCCUCUCAGGUCGGCUAUGUAUCAUCGCCUUGGUGAGCCUUUACCUCACCAACUAGCUAAUACAACGCGGGAUCAUCUUUGAGUGAUGCAAUUGCAUCUUUCAAACUUAAAACUUGUGUUUAAAGUUUUUAUGCGGUAUUAGCAUUCGUUUCCAAAUGUUGUCCCCCGCUCAAAGGCAGAUUCCCCACGCGUUACUCACCCGUUCG